Molecule: ribosomal RNA, 728 nt
Filed under: uncultured bacterium
Lineage: Bacteria
Description: bacterial SSU rRNA
Rfam family: Bacterial small subunit ribosomal RNA
Source: RNAcentral
ACGCUGGCGGCGUGCUUAACACAUGCAAGUCGAACGAUGAUGCCCAGCUUGCUGGGUGGAUUAGUGGCGAACGGGUGAGUAACACGUGAGUAACCUGCCCCUGACUCUGGGAUAAGCGUUGGAAACGACGUCUAAUACUGGAUAUGAUCACUGGCCGCAUGGUCUGGUGGUGGAAAGAUUUUUUGGUUGGGGAUGGACUCGCGGCCUAUCAGCUUGUUGGUGAGGUAAUGGCUCACCAAGGCGACGACGGGUAGCCGGCCUGAGAGGGUGACCGGCCACACUGGGACUGAGACACGGCCCAGACUCCUACGGGAGGCAGCAGUGGGGAAUAUUGCACAAUGGGCGAAAGCCUGAUGCAGCAACGCCGCGUGAGGGAUGACGGCCUUCGGGUUGUAAACCUCUUUUAGUAGGGAAGAAGCGAAAGUGACGGUACCUGCAGAAAAAGCACCGGCUAACUACGUGCCAGCAGCCGCGGUAAUACGUAGGGUGCAAGCGUUGUCCGGAAUUAUUGGGCGUAAAGAGCUCGUAGGCGGUUUGUCGCGUCUGCUGUGAAAUCCCGAGGCUCAACCUCGGGCUUGCAGUGGGUACGGGCAGACUAGAGUGCGGUAGGGGAGAUUGGAAUUCCUGGUGUAGCGGUGGAAUGCGCAGAUAUCAGGAGGAACACCGAUGGCGAAGGCAGAUCUCUGGGCCGUAACUGACGCUGAGGAGCGAAAGCAUGGGGAGCGAAC